This is a long non-coding RNA of Spea bombifrons (plains spadefoot toad), 423 nucleotides long. RefSeq lists it as uncharacterized. NCBI's taxonomy places the organism in Eukaryota, Metazoa, Chordata, Amphibia, Anura, Pelobatidae. The record is from RefSeq and is a predicted model, not a curated record. The transcript is spliced from 3 exons.
UUUUAUUAUAUAUUUCCUGUUCAUCCGUGGCAGCACACAAUGGGUUAACGUUUCCUCGUUCCCUUGGAAUAGUAGAUACACUCAAGCAAUAGCACAGAGACAAGAACAGAAGAAGAGACAGAGACAGGUAGCCUCUAUACUGGGCGUUCGCUUAGUUCCUGGGGCAGGAGAGUGUUUGUGCGGCCGUAAACCUGGAGUUUUCCUGGUCCCUCAGCCAGCCCACCACCCCGUUACCUAUAACAGAGUGAUCGACAUCGGGUGUGCGAAGGAUCCCUUCUCCUGUUCAGGAGGUAGGAUGUCCAGUCCAGGGGGGAAAAGGAAGAGAACGUCCAGACAUACUGCCUGUUUGAAUUGCUCCCAGCCCUUGCCUGAAUCCUGGGCUCAGGAUAAAUGUGCAGGAUGCAUGUCUACGGAACAACCAGC